GAGAGGGCAAACUUGAAUGCCCUUCACAAUGGAGAGAUGUGUGCAGACCGGACAGACAUCAGUUCCUUUAUCAGUGCACAGGUAGCUGCAAUAUGCUUCCUGGAAUCCUCUCUCAAAUAAACUGCUUGCCUCCAAAUCCUUGUCUCAGGCCUGCAUGUGGAGAGAUAAAACCCAGACAAAGAGGCAGACAUGAGCAGAUGAGCUCCCCCGAACAGGAGACAAGUGGGCUGAGAGGUGAAGGAAGAGGAUGAGCAGCUCCAGCAGCCUAAGGGCUAUCCUCUGAAGCAGAGUCACAGAGCCGAGUGUAGCAAGAAAAGGCUCGGUGAUGCCUGGGGAGGCGACGCCGGCAGUCAGAAGAAUCCAAAGGAGCCUUGACAGCGUCACUGCAGACAAACCUGUCUCCACUGACUGCCCUACUCAGACUCUGCCUGUCUGUGGUGGCCCACUCUCCUCGGGGUGGAUCGGCCUAAGAGUUUCAUUAAAAUCAAGGGGACGGGGAUUGUGGGUAGUGUUGGGACCCAGUAAAGCCCUGGGCUUAAUGGAUCAGAACCAAAACCCCAGCUCCACAUGGGCAGCCCUCAGUUUUCAUGGGUCAGCCCUUUCUGAGAAACCCAGCCAGGGAGGAGCACAGGACCAGCAGCAGGGGAUGCUUCUAAACCCAUAUCUCACUGGAUAAGCUCAUCACCUUCCAAGCCUCUGAAGAACAUUUACGUUCCUAUAAGUUUCUGAAGCCACGUUCAAAUCGUAGCUCUACCACCAAUGAGCUGCACGUUGGAGGGGAAGUGAAUUCACCCCAGACCUGAGUUCCACAUCCCUAGACUGGGUGAGAGGGCCUCUGCCCAGGCUCUCCAUGAGGAUGACCUGCACCGUGUGCCUUUAAUGCACUUAGAACAGCAGGUGCCUCAGUAAACGCUCACUGCCAUUCUGCGAUCAUUAUUGCAUUCACUUCCUGGGGCUGCUGCAACAAAGUACCACACCCUGGGGGCGAAAACAACAGACCCUGACCGUGCCGAUGCUGGAAGUCUGAGAUCAAGGUGUGGGCAGGGCUGGUUCCUUCCGAGGACUGUGAGGAAGACUGUUCCACGCCUCUCUGCAGCUCCGGGUGGUUUGCAGGCAACCUUUCCAUUGCUGGCUUUGCAGACACAUCACCCAGUCUCUGCCCUCAUGUUCACAUGGCUCUCUCCCUGUGUGUGUGUGUCUGCGUCCCAGCCUCCCCUGUUUAUAAGGACAUAGUGGCAUUACAUGACUACUAUUACUCUGAUAGGGCCUCAUCUUAACUAACUACAUCUGCAAAUAACCCAUUGCCACAUAAGGUAGCAUUCUGAAGUACUAGGGGCUAGGACAUCAACAUAGGAAUUUGGGGAGCACAUAAUUCAACCCAUGAUAAUGAUUAUCGUGAUUAUUAUUAAGAAUAUAUAACCACUGUAGGAUGAAAGCAAAUACUGUAAAAUCCUACUCAUAGGUUUGCAGGGAUUAAAUGGCAUCACUGGAAAAUUGUCUGACACAAAGAAGGGGUUCAACAAAUGUUGUUUUACUUCCUCACUGUCAGCCUAAAUAUAGAAAGUAUUUGCUCAUUGGCCCGACAGACAAGUUUUGACUUCUAGUUUUAUACCAGCUUUAUGUAUACAUGCUUAUAUGUCGUAUGUGACAUUUUGUACAUAUAAACAUUAGUUCUGCCUUCUAAUGCUAUUUUGAAAUCACCUUUCCCUUGUUAAAGUGUUCUUUUGAAAUUAUAUAAAAUAGCUGAAUAGUAUUUUAAAGCCAAAAUGCUACAAUUUACUUGCCAUGUUUUAUAAUUUGCUUACAUUCAGAUGGUGUACCAUCUUGUGUUCUGUUAUGAAAUAGCACAACCAUGCAUAAAUGACCCUGCCAUCCUACCCCUAGAACUUUAUUUACCAUGAAAUGCCUCCACGUACUUUCAUUUGCAUGUCUUGAGAACUGAACCGUAGACCCCUCUUCCCUGUCAGUGUUGACCAUCGAUAUUUCCUCCCACAUGUGGCUUCUGUUUCUGUCUCUGGGCAGAUUUAUUCUAACCUGCCCUCAAAUCUGUAAGAAGAUUGUUCAUUCCCUAGGGCUAGUCCAAGUCUCCUGGCCUGGUGCUUACUUCAAAUUCACCUAAAUCUGGCAUAAAAGCUUUCAGGACAAGGUGGAUCAAACUGCGCCCUUGUGUGAGUACUCCCUGGACAGAAUGUCUGGUUAUCUUCGGUGUAAGUUAUUUCCCAUGACUCACAAAUAGAAAUCAGGAGAGGAGGGAGGUAGGAGGUGCAAGCCUCUGCAGCUGUCUGGAGAGUCAGCAAAAGGGAGACAGAAUCUUUAGUUACUUCACAUGUGUGACAAUACGCCUAUGUUUUGUUUUAUGUUGUUUAUUUCUUAUGUAACAUUGUUGAGUUAUCAAAUGAAGUGGUGUAUAAAAAUGUCAAAUAAACAGGUUCUCUCCCUUU
RNAcentral lists this long non-coding RNA (2441 nucleotides) under Homo sapiens (human). RNAcentral describes it as "HSALNT0400074". Lineage: Eukaryota; Metazoa; Chordata; Mammalia; Primates; Hominidae. The record is from RNAcentral.